AGGAUAGCUAAUACCGCAUACGAUCUGUGGAUGAAAGGAGGGGAUCUUCGGACCUUGUGCUAUUGGAAUGGCCGAGAUCUGAUUAGCGUAGUUGGUGGGGUAAAAGCCUACCAAGGCGGCGAUCAGUAGCUGGUCUGAGAGGACGACCAGCCACACUGGAAGGGAGACACGGUCCAGCCGCCUACGGGAGGCAGCAGUGGGGAAUUUUGGACAAUGGGGGCAACCCGGAUCCAGAAAGGCCGCGUGAGUGAAGAA
This 255-nucleotide ribosomal RNA is filed under the name uncultured bacterium. Its description in RNAcentral is "partial 16S ribosomal RNA". It matches the Rfam family "Bacterial small subunit ribosomal RNA", at positions 156 to 412 of the family's 1533-position model. The record is from RNAcentral.